AUGGAAAUGACUAAAGUAGUCAAACCUGUUCACUGGAAGCGGAUGAGCGAAUACUUUUGGCAAUAUAGUGUAUGUGUGCCAAUAAAAGUUUAUACCUGUGUAUAUACUUGUAAAUACUACACUUGUUUCUUUUUUUCCCAAACAGACAUGUUCAAAAUUGUCGAAUUUGUUGAGACACAUGAGGUGGAGCUGGUUCCAGCCAUUUGGGUGGAGAAUGGCCAGUGCUAUUGGCCUAAUUCACUGAGGGGUAUGGCCCUUCACCUGGCCAUUAAAAACAAGACACCUCCUAACUGUGACUGGGGAAGUUGGGAAGUCCGAACAAUGUUUUCAACAGACAGCUAUGAAGAGGGCAGAAGGAAGGCUAAAGAGGCAGAGACCUGGUCAGACCUCCAGUCAGACGCAGAAAUGUCUGGACAGAAACCACCAAGGCGUAAAAUGAAGAGUGUUCGAAUUGGCCCACCUGGAGGUUGCUUAAUGGACUCAGAGGAGGAAUCUGGCCCACCCCCCAAGCAACUUCUUCCACCUGCCCCCACUGUAAACCUCCCUGUAGUCAUCCCAAACACCACUUUCACCCCUGUUCCCAUCACCACAUUGCCAGCAGCAGCAGCACCACCACCACAAGGGACAUAUACAGAGAUGCUGCAAAAUUGGCAGCCGAUGGACGAUGUGCCACCGCUGCGGAGUUGUCAGACGUUCAGAAUUGCCCCCCAGCAAUCAUCAGAACCAGCCCUGCUGAGGGAGGUUCUAACAAAAUUAGAGAUGGUGCUGGACCAGCAAUCCACCAUCCUCAGAUUGUUGCAGCUGCGGGAAGACCAGGGACAGCUUUUUGAACAUAGAGGAAGGUUUGCUGCCCCUGCAAGACCUUCCACAACUGCUCAGCCUUGAGCAAAGGAUUCAGCAGAGCCCAGAUUACAAGCAAAAACUGGUAAGAUGUUUUCUUUGGUUUUUUUUUGUUGUUGUUUUUAAUUGUUUGCACAAUUACACAGGUACUGAUUUUUUUUUUUUUUUAAACUGGUACACAAAUUAGGGCUGUGAUGAUAUGCUCUCUGGAAUCAAUCUUGUCAUAAUUCUUGGGUGCCGAAUUGUUAUGAUAUAUAUGCAAUUGACCAUGUAUAUAACCAUACCAGGUAUGGGCAAACUCGGUCCUGGAGGGCCGAUAUCCCUGCAGAGUUUAGCUCCAACCCUAAUAGAUCUCACCUACCUAUAGCCUUCCAGUAAUCCUGAAGACACUGAUUAGUGUGUUCAGAUGUGUUUGAUCAGGGUUGGAGCUAAACCCUCAAGGACACUGCCCCUCCAGGACCCAGGCUGUAAGGGUGGUUUCUCUACAGUGGUUCAGGCUGUAGGAUUGACAAAGGUCUAAGAAGCGUUAUCAGCACAAUGGUAUAAAACUGUGAAUUUCUCAUCUAUUACCACGCACUGCCACUUAUAGCAACAUUGGAAAUAAGUGCAGUUAGAAUAGCUAAAUAUGUGGGAGAGCAUUGAGGGACUAUAUUGUAUUGCAGCUUUACUAUUAACCUUGAAUCAAGACUAGUUAGAGAGGGAGAAAAAGAGGGAGAGAGAGCAGAGCCCCAAGAAGAGCUCCAGCAAAGAAAAGAGGCAGCAAAGGAAAGUGACAGAGCAACAGUUACAAUCUUCUUUUAUCCCUUCUUUGACCAUGUGUAUAAAAACCAAAUGUGAGACAUUCAAACUGACUAAUCAGCAGACUACAGCUUCACCCACUGUGCAAAAGGUGACAAUCAGAAGACCAUCGAUGUGUACACAUGUUGACACAGGACUUGAUCACUGUCAGCACCUCUGUGCCUUCAGGAAUGGCACUUGUAGUAAGAGAAAGGGGGUGGACAAAGCAAAACAAACAUCUUUGUCCAAUUUCAAAUAUCUUUGGAUAAUUUCCAAACCUUUCUUUAAUUAUAUAUUUUUUGUACUUUAAUUCAUUGUUGAAAUAUACAUAUUUAAACAGUGGAUAUACAAAAAUGUUUUAUUGACAUUUUUUUUUUUCUUUUUUAAUUCUGUUUCAGAUAAACUGGUUGGGGCUUAUUGGUGGGGCGGACGUGCGCGACUGCACCUGGCGCAUAUUAAAGAGGUUGAUUGCCAACUCUCUGGCAAAGAACCUUAAUUGGAGAGGAGUCAAUGGAAAGACUUCAGUGGCCACUCUUCAACUCAGAGAGGUUGUGAUUGGUAAGAAAACAGUAUCCCCCGAUUUCACAUACAAGGCUUAGGCCUAGUCCCGGACUAAAAUGUAAUUCUGAGCUAUUUCAACUGAAAGAAACUUGCACUGACUGAUAUUUAAAUAUAUCAGUGCCUUUGUUUUGUCUCAAGAUGCACACCAAUUAUGUUUUUACUAAGUCACAUUUAUAAAAAAUUACUUAGAUGUCCUUAUUGAACUAUUGACUAAUCCUGGCUGUAGUGGAUUCUGUAGUGGGUACGAGUAAAUACAGUUCUUUACAAUCUGUAAUACACAUUAUCAUUAUUUAGGUCACUUCAAUCAAAUCAUGUUACACAGUAUGCACAACAACAGCAUGGCUAAACUGAGGAUCAUUUUUCAUUACUUUGAGACAAUAUGCUUUUUUUAUUUUUACUUUAAUUUAUAUGAAUUAUUUCCUCUCUCAGACGCAAAAACCAUCAAACCUAAAUUACAGUUUACUUGCUAACACAUUUGCAGUUGUUAUUAUAUAUUUUUGUCUAUAAUUAUUUUUAUUUAAUCAAUCUGAAUAUUAUAACAAUUAUUUGCAAUAAUUUAAAAUAAUAUAUUAUUAAUUAGCAGUAAACUUAAUUACUGUCAUAAAUAUUAGUUUUGUAUUUUUACUGUAAUAAAAAUAAUAAUAAUUAUAUUUCAUAUUAAUAGAUUAUUU
This is a long non-coding RNA of Cyprinus carpio carpio, 2849 nucleotides long. The record is from Ensembl. NCBI's taxonomy places the organism in Eukaryota, Metazoa, Chordata, Actinopteri, Cypriniformes, Cyprinidae.